AUUGAACGCUGGCGGCAUGCUUUACACAUGCAAGUCGAACGGCAGCGCGGGGGCAACCCUGGCGGCGAGUGGCGAACGGGUGAGUAAUAUAUCGGAACGUACCCAGAAGUGGGGAUAACGUAGCGAAAGUUACGCUAAUACCGCAUACGAUCUACGGAUGAAAGUGGGGGACCUUCGGGCCUCAUGCUUUUGGAGCGGCCGAUAUCUGAUUAGCUAGUUGGUGAGGUAAAGGCUCACCAAGGCGACGAUCAGUAGCUGGUCUGAGAGGACGACCAGCCACACUGGAACUGAGACACGGUCCAGACUCCUACGGGAGGCAGCAGUGGGGAAUUUUGGACAAUGGGGGCAACCCUGAUCCAGCAAUGCCGCGUGAGUGAAGAAGGCCUUC
Molecule: ribosomal RNA, 388 nt
Filed under: uncultured bacterium
Lineage: Bacteria
Description: bacterial SSU rRNA
Rfam family: Bacterial small subunit ribosomal RNA
Source: RNAcentral